AUUUACAUCGACGUUCUUCAGUGUUAAAGGUUCACCUGAUGAGUGAUAUGGAGGAAUUAUUUUAAGUUUGCUCAUAAGAUAACUGUUUCAUUGUGUUUGUCCCUUCACGGUGGAUGGCAGAGUGUCCAGACCUGCACCUGACAGACAUGAAGGACCUCUGUCCACCUCAAAGACCAACCCGGAUGUGUCUGAGGAUAGAAGGGAGGACCAGCUGAGUCCUGAUGAUCCAGAGAGGUUGAAGCAGCAGCAGCUUGUGGGUGGAGAGGCUCCCCAAUCAAAGGACACUUUGAGUUUCACACCUGAGCAGCUGACUGAGUCUGGAAAGACGUCAUACAGGUUCAGGUGU
Etheostoma cragini (Arkansas darter) is the source of this 346-nucleotide long non-coding RNA. RefSeq lists it as uncharacterized. The record is from RefSeq and is a predicted model, not a curated record. The transcript has 4 exons. Lineage: Eukaryota; Metazoa; Chordata; Actinopteri; Perciformes; Percidae.